AGCGAACGCUGGCGGCAGGCUUAACACAUGCAAGUCGAACGCCCCGCAAGGGGAGUGGCAGACGGGUGAGUAACACGUGGGAACGUACCCUUUGGUUCGGAAUAACUUGGGGAAACUCAAGCUAAUACCGGAUAAGCCCUUAUGGGGAAAGGUUUACUGCCGAAGGAUCGGCCCGCGUCUGAUUAGCUAGUUGGUGAGGUAAUGGCUAACCAAGGCGACGAUCAGUAGCUGGUCUGAGAGGAUGAUCAGCCACACUGGGACUGAGACACGGCCCAGACUCCUAUGGGAGGCAGCAGUGGGGAAUAUUGGACAACGGGGGCAACCCUGAUCCAGCCAUGCCGCGUGAGUGAUGAAGGCCUUAGGGUUGUAAAGCUCUUUUACCCGGGACGAUAAUGACUGUACCGGGAGAAUAAGCCCCGGCUAACUUCGUGCCAGCAGCCGCGGUAA
This 447-nucleotide ribosomal RNA is filed under the name uncultured bacterium. RNAcentral describes it as "partial 16S ribosomal RNA". It matches the Rfam family "Bacterial small subunit ribosomal RNA", at positions 29 to 523 of the family's 1533-position model. The record is from RNAcentral.